RNAcentral lists this unclassified non-coding RNA (377 nucleotides) under uncultured Moraxellaceae bacterium. RNAcentral describes it as "contains 16S-23S intergenic spacer region". The record is from RNAcentral. Lineage: Bacteria; Pseudomonadati; Pseudomonadota; Gammaproteobacteria; Moraxellales; Moraxellaceae.
UCCAGUUUGUCACUGGCAGUAUCCUUAGAGUUCCCACCCGAAGUGCUGGCAAAUAAGGAAAAGGGUUGCGCUCGUUGCGGGACUUAACCCAACAUCUCACGACACGAGCUGACGACAGCCAUGCAGCACCUGUGUUCUGAUUCCCGAAGGCACUCUCGUAUCUCUACAAGAUUCCAGACAUGUCAAGGCUAGGUAAGGUUCUUCGCGUUGCAUCGAAUUAAACCACAUGCUCCACCGCUUGUGCGGGCCCCCGUCAAUUCAUUUGAGUUUUAGUCUUGCGACCGUACUCCCCAGGCGGUCAACUUAUCGCGUUAGCUGCGCCACUAAGCCCUCAAGGGGCCCAACGGCUAGUUGACAUCGUUUACGGCAUGGACUAC